Molecule: ribosomal RNA, 749 nt
Filed under: Microbacterium aurantiacum
Lineage: Bacteria; Bacillati; Actinomycetota; Actinomycetes; Micrococcales; Microbacteriaceae
Description: partial 16S ribosomal RNA
Rfam family: Bacterial small subunit ribosomal RNA
Source: RNAcentral
AAGCCAAGCUUGCUUGGUGGAUCAGUGGCGAACGGGUGAGUAACACGUGAGCAACCUGCCCUGGACUCUGGGAUAAGCGCUGGAAACGGCGUCUAAUACUGGAUAUGAGCUCCUUCCGCAUGGUGGGGGUUGGAAAGAUUUUUCGGUCUGGGAUGGGCUCGCGGCCUAUCAGCUUGUUGGUGAGGUAAUGGCUCACCAAGGCGUCGACGGGUAGCCGGCCUGAGAGGGUGACCGGCCACACUGGGACUGAGACACGGCCCAGACUCCUACGGGAGGCAGCAGUGGGGAAUAUUGCACAAUGGGCGGAAGCCUGAUGCAGCAACGCCGCGUGAGGGAUGACGGCCUUCGGGUUGUAAACCUCUUUUAGCAGGGAAGAAGCGAAAGUGACGGUACCUGCAGAAAAAGCGCCGGCUAACUACGUGCCAGCAGCCGCGGUAAUACGUAGGGCGCAAGCGUUAUCCGGAAUUAUUGGGCGUAAAGAGCUCGUAGGCGGUUUGUCGCGUCUGCUGUGAAAUCCCGAGGCUCAACCUCGGGCCUGCAGUGGGUACGGGCAGACUAGAGUGCGGUAGGGGAGAUUGGAAUUCCUGGUGUAGCGGUGGAAUGCGCAGAUAUCAGGAGGAACACCGAUGGCGAAGGCAGAUCUCUGGGCCGUAACUGACGCUGAGGAGCGAAAGGGUGGGGAGCAAACAGGCUUAGAUACCCUGGUAGUCCACCCCGUAAACGUUGGGAACUAGUUGUGGGGACCAUUC